UCCAUGAUAAAAGUGCCGGGAUAGCUCAGUUGGUAGAGCAGAGGACUGAAAAUCCUCGUGUCACCA
This 66-nucleotide transfer RNA is filed under the name Scapania obcordata. RNAcentral describes it as "partial tRNA-Phe". The stretch from base 15 to 66 matches the Rfam family "tRNA", at positions 1 to 50 of the family's 71-position model. Rfam says of the family: Transfer RNA (tRNA) molecules are approximately 80 nucleotides in length. Their secondary structure includes four short double-helical elements and three loops (D, anti-codon, and T loops). Lineage: Eukaryota; Viridiplantae; Streptophyta; Jungermanniopsida; Jungermanniales; Scapaniaceae. The record is from RNAcentral.